AUUGAACGCUGGCGGCAGGCCUAACACAUGCAAGUCGAACGAGUGGCGGACGGGUGAGUAAUGUCUGGGCAACUGCCUGAUGGAGGGGGAUAACUACUGGAAACGGUAGCUAAUACCGCAUACCAUCUGAUGUGCCCAGAUGGGAUUAGCUAGUUGGGGGGGUAACGGCUCACCUAGGCGACGAUCCCUAGCUGGUCUGAGAGGAUGACCAGCAACACGGGAAAGGAGACACGGUCCAGAAGCCUACGGGAGGCAGCAGUGGGGAAUAUUGCACAAUGGGCGCAAGCCUGAUGCAGCCAUGCCGCGUGUAUGAAGAAGGCCUUAGGGUUGUAAAGUACUUUCAGCGAGGAGGCGUUACUCGCAGAAGAAGCACCGGCUAACUCCGUGCCAGCAGCCGCGGUAAUUC
RNAcentral lists this ribosomal RNA (406 nucleotides) under uncultured bacterium. RNAcentral's name for it is "partial 16S ribosomal RNA". It matches the Rfam family "Bacterial small subunit ribosomal RNA", at positions 30 to 526 of the family's 1533-position model. The record is from RNAcentral.